GAUGAACGCUGGCGGCGUGCCCAAUACAUGCCAGUCGAGCGAACGGACGAGAAGCUUGCUUCUCUGAUGUUAGCGGCGGACGGGUGAGUAACACGUGGAUAACCUACCUAUAAGACUGGGAUAACUUCGGGAAACCGGAGCUAAUACCGGAUAAUAUUUUGAACCGCAUGGUUCAAAAGUGAAAGACGGUCUUGCUGUCACUUAUAGAUGGAUCCGCGCUGCAUUAGCUAGUUGGUAAGGUAACGGCUUACCAAGGCAACGAUGCAUAGCCGACCUGAGAGGGUGAUCGGCCACACUGGAACUGAGACACGGUCCAGACUCCUACGGGAGGCAGCAGUAGGGAAUCUUCCGCAAUGGGCGAAAGCCUGACGGAGCAACGCCGCGUGAGUGAUGAAGGUCUUCGGAUCGUAAAACUCUGUUAUUAGGGAAGAACAUAUGUGUAAGUAACUGUGCACAUCUUGACGGUACCUAAUCAGAAAGCCACGGCUAACUACGUG
Molecule: ribosomal RNA, 497 nt
Filed under: uncultured bacterium
Lineage: Bacteria
Description: partial 16S ribosomal RNA
Rfam family: Bacterial small subunit ribosomal RNA
Source: RNAcentral